This 459-nucleotide ribosomal RNA is filed under the name Triticum aestivum (bread wheat). RNAcentral's name for it is "partial small subunit ribosomal RNA". The record is from RNAcentral. Lineage: Eukaryota; Viridiplantae; Streptophyta; Magnoliopsida; Poales; Poaceae.
AUGGCAGCCUCGCUCCCGGACGACCUCCUGCUGGAGGUCCUUGUCCGGGUCAAGGAUGCCGCGGCUCUCUUCCGUUGUGCCACGGCGUGCAAAGGGUGGCACCGUCUCAUCGUCAAUCCAUCCUUCCUCCGGCGACGCUGGCCCGACGGCGGGUGGGACUCGUCCUCUUUUGUCGGCUUCUUCAUCCUAGGAGGAGCGAACAGGGCCUUGGGCUCACGGCCUUUUCCCACACCAGAGCCUUGGUUCGUCCCCGCGCCGCGAUCUGCUCUGAGCCUUAGCCGCUGCGGUCUAACCUCCAUGGUGACUGCUUCUCAUGCUGGCCUCUUUGACCGUGCGGUGCCGCUCGCCUCGCGCCAUCACCUCCUCCUCCUGCGAAUUCAAGACAAAAGGCACCUCCUUCUACGAGGACCGGACCAUCCUCCGGUUCACGGUAUGCAACCUGUUCGCUGGCACAUGUGA